GCAAACAUAGCUGAGAUGGAUUAGCGCUUGCCUGAAGAGCUUGAGAGCUUGGUUCGAUUCCAAGUGUUUGCA
Molecule: transfer RNA, 72 nt
Filed under: Salmonella phage SE131
Lineage: Duplodnaviria; Heunggongvirae; Uroviricota; Caudoviricetes; Grimontviridae
Also listed under: 1 other name
Rfam family: tRNA
About the family: Transfer RNA (tRNA) molecules are approximately 80 nucleotides in length. Their secondary structure includes four short double-helical elements and three loops (D, anti-codon, and T loops).
Source: Rfam by way of RNAcentral